RNAcentral lists this ribosomal RNA (409 nucleotides) under bacterium. RNAcentral describes it as "partial 16S ribosomal RNA". It matches the Rfam family "Bacterial small subunit ribosomal RNA", at positions 355 to 776 of the family's 1533-position model. The record is from RNAcentral.
UGGGGAAUAUUGCACAAUGGGCGAAAGCCUGAUGCAGCGACGCCGCGUGAGGGAUGACGGCCUUCGGGUUGUAAACCUCUUUCAGUAGGGACGAAGCGCAAGUGACGGUACCUGCAGAAGAAGCACCGGCUAACUACGUGCCAGCAGCCGCGGUAAUACGUAGGGUGCGAGCGUUGUCCGGAAUUACUGGGCGUAAAGAGCUCGUAGGCGGUUUGUCACGUCGUCUGUGAAAUCCUAGGGCUUAACCCUGGACGUGCAGGCGAUACGGGCUGACUUGAGUACUACAGGAGAGACUGGAAUUUCUGGUGUAGCGGAGGAAUGCACAGAUAUCAGGAAGAACACCGAUGGCGAAGGCAGGUCUCUGGGUAGUAACUGACGCUGAGGAGCGAAAGCAUGGGUAGCGAACAGG